This 441-nucleotide ribosomal RNA is filed under the name uncultured soil bacterium. RNAcentral describes it as "bacterial SSU rRNA". It matches the Rfam family "Bacterial small subunit ribosomal RNA", at positions 26 to 486 of the family's 1533-position model. The record is from RNAcentral.
AGAUUGAACGCUGGCGGCAUGCCUUACACAUGCAAGUCGAACGGUAGAGUAGCAAUACUUGAGAGUGGCGAACGGGUGAGUAAUAUAUCGGAACGUGCCCAGUCGUGGGGGAUAACGUAGAGAAAUUUACGCUAAUACCGCAUACGAUCUAAGGAUGAAAGCGGGGGACCGUAAGGCCUCGCGCGAUUGGAGCGGCUGAUAUCAGAUUAGGUUGUUGGUGAGGUAAAAGCUCACCAAGCCGACGAUCUGUAGCUGGUUUGAGAGAACGACCAAGCCACACUGGGACUGAGACACGGCCCAGACUCCUACGGGAGGCAGCAGCGGGGAAUUUGGACAAUGGGCGAAAGCCUGAUCCAGCAAUGCCGCGUGCAGGAAGAAGGCCUUCGGUGUAAACUGCUUUGUACGGAACGAACGGUACUGACGUUUAAUACAGUAGGCUAA